AGUUAAUGAUCUUGAAUAAGAAUAUAUUUUGAAAAUAUAUUAAAGAAAUUAAAAUUUUCUAUUGACUU
This 68-nucleotide transfer RNA is filed under the name Dolichoderus quadripunctatus. RNAcentral describes it as "tRNA-Ser". The record is from RNAcentral. Lineage: Eukaryota; Metazoa; Arthropoda; Insecta; Hymenoptera; Formicidae. RNAcentral also lists the same sequence under 1 other name.